Molecule: unclassified non-coding RNA, 437 nt
Filed under: uncultured Thelephoraceae
Lineage: Eukaryota; Fungi; Basidiomycota; Agaricomycetes; Thelephorales; Thelephoraceae
Description: sequence contains ITS2
Rfam family: 5.8S ribosomal RNA (bases 1-155)
Source: RNAcentral
AACUUUUAGCAAUGGAUCUCUUGGCUCUCGCAUCGAUGAAGAACGCAGCGAAAUGCGAUAAGUAAUGUGAAUUGCAGAAUUCAGUGAAUCAUCUAAUCUUUGAACGCACCUUGCGCCCUUUGGCUAUUCCGAAGGGCAUGCCUGUUUGAGUAUCAUGAACACCUCAACCCUCACGGUUCCUCGUGAUGGGCUUGGACUUGGGGGCUUUGUUGGCCUGUGGUCAGCUCUCCUCAAAUAAAUCAGCUCGCCAGUGUCUGGCGGCAUCAUGGGUGUGAUAACCAUCUACGCUUGUGAUCGCCUGCGAGGUAAACCUCUGGUCUGCAGAGGUUCGCUGGAGCUUAUAGAUGUCUCUCCUCUGUGAAGACAGCUUUCUGAAGUUCGAUCUCAAAUCAGGUAGGACUACCCGCUGAACUUAAGCAUAUCAAUAAGCGGAGGCU